This 131-nucleotide unclassified non-coding RNA is filed under the name uncultured Pezizales. Its description in RNAcentral is "sequence contains ITS1". The record is from RNAcentral. Lineage: Eukaryota; Fungi; Ascomycota; Pezizomycetes; Pezizales.
ACAAAUCCGUGGGGCUGUUUAAUGGUAUUUAUACUGUGGACGGCCACAUAAACUCGGGGGGUAGCGACUCUUGCUUCUCCUCGAUCAUCAUCAUAUAUGUGUAGUUGACUAAUUUGUGGAUUAAUAUUUUA